Molecule: ribosomal RNA, 172 nt
Filed under: Escherichia coli
Lineage: Bacteria; Pseudomonadati; Pseudomonadota; Gammaproteobacteria; Enterobacterales; Enterobacteriaceae
Also listed under: 1 other name
Description: partial 23S ribosomal RNA
Rfam family: Bacterial large subunit ribosomal RNA
Source: RNAcentral
GGUUAAGCGACUAAGCGUACACGGUGGAUGCCCUGGCAGUCAGAGGCGAUGAAGGACGUGCUAAUCUGCGAUAAGCGUCGGUAAGGUGAUAUGAACCGUUAUAACCGGCGAUUUCCGAAUGGGGAAACCCAGUGUGAUUCGUCACACUAUCAUUAACUGAAUCCAUAGGUUA